RNAcentral lists this ribosomal RNA (443 nucleotides) under uncultured Fusobacterium sp. RNAcentral describes it as "bacterial SSU rRNA". It matches the Rfam family "Bacterial small subunit ribosomal RNA", at positions 338 to 795 of the family's 1533-position model. Lineage: Bacteria; Fusobacteriati; Fusobacteriota; Fusobacteriia; Fusobacteriales; Fusobacteriaceae. The record is from RNAcentral.
CCUACGGGGGGCAGCAGUGGGGAAUAUUGGACAAUGGACCAAGAGUCUGAUCCAGCAAUUCUGUGUGCACGAUGAAGUUUUUCGGAAUGUAAAGUGCUUUCAGUUGGGAAGAAAGAAAUGACGGUACCAACAGAAGAAGUGACGGCUAAAUACGUGCCAGCAGCCGCGGUAAUACGUAUGUCACGAGCGUUAUCCGGAUUUAUUGGGCGUAAAGCGCGUCUAGGUGGUUAUGUAAGUCUGAUGUGAAAAUGCAGGGCUCAACUCUGUAUUGCGUUGGAAACUGUAUAACUAGAGUACUGGAGAGGUAAGCGGAACUACAAGUGUAGAGGUGAAAUUCGUAGAUAUUUGUAGGAAUGCCGAUGGGGAAGCCAGCUUACUGGACAGAUACUGACGCUGAAGCGCGAAAGCGUGGGUAGCAAACAGGAUUAGAUACCCGUGUAGUC